CUCUUUCUUUGCACCCAUGGGACUGGGGUGAGGGGUGAUGAUGGCUGGGGAAAGAGAGAGAAAAGCUGGGACCUAAAGGUCUCAAGCUUUCUGUCUGGGCCUCACACUCAGGCCUAAGGCUAGCAACCUUGGCAUCCACGUGGGCCAGACCAGACGCCACCACUAAGAAACAUGCAGGCUUUACUGAGGAAAACAGCAGCAAACUGGUCCAGAAAGAAAGAAAGAAAAGAAAAGAAAAAAGAAAGGAAAGAAAAUAAUGGCCUCUGCUUUGGUUACAAGUCCACAAAGAGCUGCUGAAGCAAAUGGAGUAAAACAGUGAUUCAGUUGGACUGUCCUUUAGCAUAAACAGGAUCACGGUCACUGAAAUUAACUCAGGAAUAAGUUCAAGUCUAAUCUUGGAUUUUUUUUGUACUAACCCUGUAUCUGAGAAAGCGUAGCAAGUUCCCCACAUCGUGUGGCGGCAGCCUGGCAGAUACUGCACUUCAUAACAUCCUGGAGGUUGAAAGUACAUAUAUUGAAGACAUAAACUAACCAGGGCCAGCACAGCCUUGGCGCCACAUUCCCAAAGGCCGAAUAACAUACACAAACAAGGUUGUGUCAGACUCUAAGUGCUUCUCUUUUAUUAACUCUUUUGAACUCCACAAAAACCCAAGAGAUAAGACACUAUUACCCCAAUGGAGACACUAAGGCACUAAAUGAAGGGUAUAAAGAACCAGGAUCAAACAAGCUGUCUGGCUGGAAAAUUCACCACUACACUCCAACAGCAAAACACUGGAUCCAGUGUUCUAUAUGUCAGCUCAUCUGCAAACCUGAAAUAGUAAUUCUAAUGAUUUGAACUCUAAAAUGAACCAUUUCAGUGUCUACAUGGAGAAUAUAAGUAAUCCUUCAGGUCAACAACUAUCCUCUGGCUUUGACUUUGAGAUCUUAGAUCUCAAACAUCACAAAGAUGGAAAGAACCUUUUUACAAGCAACACCUAGGCAACACUAUAAACCUAAGUCAGGGUCCCUGUUGAGUUAUCAAGACAGUAAAUGCCACCACUGAUCUAAAUCCCAAUGGUGGGCAGGUCGCAGGCGCACAGUCAUGGACUCUCCUGUCAAUCUUUUUUACUUUACAAGGAAGAAAAAUCUGUUCAUUUCAAUCUAAAAUAAGAGUCCUUUUGAGGCACUGCACCAUAACAGCAAAUAUGAACUGAGUCCAGGGAGUUGCAUGACCCUCAUGGCCUAUUUCUCUGGCUUCUUGUAUUAGUAUUUCUGUGAAUUUUAUAGGCAUUUGCUUUUCCAAUCGCAUGAUCUUUUAUUUCUUCUUUUCCCAGUAACCUCUUCUGGAAUUAAGCUUGUGCACGGGGGAAAGAAAACUUCUGUACAUUCCUUCAGCAAACAUUUUACUGACAACUGAAUGGGAUAAUACACAUAAUGCAGUUACCACAGCAUCUGAGACAUGGAAAGUACUCCACAAAUGUUUAUGUUAGUUCUAUAUAUUUCUUGCAACAUGCACUUGGGAAAUGCAACAUAAAAAUAAGUCAGAGGGAAUAAGCAGUCAUCUAUACACACACAUCAGAUCUUGGUAGAAGUAAAAAAGCUUCCCAGGCAGAGAGUUGCGAUGAGUCCCUGGAAAAUAUUUUCCCAGCUGCAGUGAUGGUACAGUGUUCCUUCCUACAUUAUGGCUCCUAUCUGGGCUGCUGGAGCUUGAGAGCAUAUUUUCUCUGCUUCCCCAGGGCCUAGAGCAGUUUCUGGUACUUAGUAGACACUGAAGUACAGGCUUGUUUAAUGGAUGACUGCUUAAACUGGUACUAAUUUGUACUCUCCGUAUUUACGGAACAAAAGAAGGAGGAGGAGACAGUGAGAGGGGACCCAAAUACAAAAUAAAUACAAAGGAAUUUAGGGCUUUAUUGGUGAGUCCUAAAUUUGCUUAAGGUAUCAUUUUUAACAAGACAAAGGAAUAGGUUUUGGCAGAAUCCAGAUGCCCCAGCAUCAUCGCCUUCUUCCGACACCACGGUUAAAGGAAUAUCUGCCAGAAAUAAAGGGAGGAAGCCAUGUUACCAAUUCUGUGACGUGACAGAGGAUACAAGAAGCAUAGGGGAAAUUUUAAGAGGUCAAAAUAAAUGCUGAAAGCCAGAUUUUAUUCAA
This is a long non-coding RNA of Marmota monax (woodchuck), 2127 nucleotides long. RefSeq lists it as uncharacterized. NCBI's taxonomy places the organism in Eukaryota, Metazoa, Chordata, Mammalia, Rodentia, Sciuridae. The transcript is spliced from 3 exons. The record is from RefSeq and is a predicted model, not a curated record.